Molecule: ribosomal RNA, 391 nt
Filed under: uncultured bacterium
Lineage: Bacteria
Description: bacterial SSU rRNA
Rfam family: Bacterial small subunit ribosomal RNA
Source: RNAcentral
GACGAACGCUGGCGGCGUGCUUAACACAUGCAAGUCGAGCGGUAAGGCCCUUUCGGGGGUACACGAGCGGCGAACGGGUGAGUAACACGUGGGUGACCUGCCCUUAGCUCUGGGAUAAGCCUGGGAAACUGGGUCUAAUACCGGAUAUGACUCCAUGACGCAUGUUGUGGGGUGGAAAGCCUUGUGCGGCUAGGGAUGGGCCCGCGGCCUAUCAGCUUGUUGGUGGGGUGAUGGCCUACCAAGGCGACGACGGGUAGCCGGCCUGAGAGGGCGACCGGCCACACUGGGACUGAGACACGGCCCAGACUCCUACGGAAGGCAGCAGUGGGGAAUCUUGCGCAAUGGGCGAAAGCCUGACGCAGCGACGCCGCGUGAGGGAUGACGGCCUCGG